GGUUCGAUCAUGGCUCAGAUUGAACGCUGGCGGGAUGCUUUACACAUGUAAGUCGAACGCAGUACGGACUUCGGUCUGUGAAGAGUGGCACACCGUGUGGGUGAGUAAUGUAUCGAACUGUACCAGUAGGGGGAUAACUACGCGAAAGCGUAGGUGCUACUGCAUACACUUUCGCGGGGGAAAGCGGGGAUCUUCGGGCCUGCACUAUUAGAGCUGGUCAGACGUGGAUUAGCUAGUUGGUGGGGUAACGGCUCACCAAGGCGACGAUCCGCAGCUGGUUUGAGUCACCAGUCACACUGGGACUGAGACACGGCCCAGACUCUACGGGAGUGCGCAGUGGGGAAUUUUGACAAUGGGGGAAACCCCGAUCCAGCCAUCCCUGCGUGUGAUGAAGGACUUCGGGUUGUAAAGCACUUUUGGCAGGAAGAAACGGCACGGGAUAAUACCCGUGCAACUGACGGUACCUGUGGUAUCACACCGCCAAUCAACACAGCCAGCAGCCGCGGUAAUACGUAGGGUGCGUUAAUCGGAAUUACUGGGCGUAAGCGUGCGCAGGCGGUUCGAAAGAAAGAUGUGAAAUCCCAGAGUUAACCGCGGAACUGCAUUUUUAACUGAGCCAGAGUGUGUCAGAGGGAGGUGGAAUUCCGUGUAGCAGUGAAAUGCGUAGAUAUGUGAGAACACCGAUGGGCGUAGCAGGUGCCUCCGCCGACACUGACGCUCGAGACGAAAGCGUGGGGAGCAACAGGAUUAGAUAAUUCUGGUAGUCCACGCCCUAAACGAUGUCAACUAGCUGUUGGGGCCUUCGGCCUUGGUAGCGCAGCUAACGCGUGAAGUUGACCGCCUGGGGAGACGGUCGCAAGAUUAAACUCCAAAGGAAUUGACGGGAUCCGCACAAGCGGUGGAUGAUGGGAUGAUCUGAUGCAACGCGAAAAACCUUACCUAAUUCUUGACAUGUCUGAAUCCCGAAGAGAUUUGGGAGUGCUCGCGCAAGAGAACCGGAACACAGGUGCUGCAUGGCUGUCGUCAGCUCGUGUCGUGAGAUGUUGGUUAAGUCCUGCAACGAGCGCAACCCUUGUCAUUGCUACGAAAGGGCACUCGACGAGACUGCCGGUGACAAACCGGAGGAAGGUGGGGAUGACGUCAAGUCCCUGGCCUCAUGGGCAGGGCUUCACGACGGCCGCGGCCAAAUGGUCGGGACAGAGGGUCGCCAACCCGCGAGGGGGAGCCAAUCCCAGAAAUCCGAUCGUAGUCCGGAUCGCAGUCUGCAACUCGACUGCGUGAAGUCGGAAUCGCUAGUAAUCGUGGAUCAGCAUGUCGCGGUGAAUACGUUCCCGGGUCUUGUACACACCGCCCGUCACACCAUGUGGAGUGGGUUUUACCAGAAGUAGUUAGCCUAACCGUAAGGAGGCGAUUACCACGGUAGGAUUCAUGACUGGGUGAAGUCGUAACAAGGUAA
This 1456-nucleotide ribosomal RNA is filed under the name uncultured Bordetella sp. RNAcentral describes it as "partial 16S-23S ribosomal RNA intergenic spacer". It matches the Rfam family "Bacterial small subunit ribosomal RNA". Lineage: Bacteria; Pseudomonadati; Pseudomonadota; Betaproteobacteria; Burkholderiales; Alcaligenaceae. The record is from RNAcentral.